This 72-nucleotide transfer RNA is filed under the name Crotalus horridus (timber rattlesnake). RNAcentral describes it as "tRNA-Leu". Lineage: Eukaryota; Metazoa; Chordata; Lepidosauria; Squamata; Viperidae. The record is from RNAcentral.
UCUAUCAAAGGAGAAUAGUUACCCCACUGGUCUUAGGCACCACAACUCUUGGUGCAAAUCCAAGUGAUAGAA